UCUGGUGCUUUGGCUCUGAGUC
This 22-nucleotide non-coding RNA is filed under the name Arabidopsis thaliana (thale cress). Lineage: Eukaryota; Viridiplantae; Streptophyta; Magnoliopsida; Brassicales; Brassicaceae. The record is from RNAcentral.